CAGAGGGUGCAAACGUUGUUCGGAAUUACUGGGCGUAAAGCGCGUGUAGGCGGCUUGGCAAGUCGGGUGUGAAAGCCCUGGGCUCAACCUAGGAAGUGCACUCGAAACUGCUUCGCUUGAGUGUCGGAGAGGAAAGCGGAAUUCUCGGUGUAGAGGUGAAAUUCGUAGAUAUCGAGAGGAACACCGGUGGCGAAGGCGGCUUUCUGGACGAUUACUGACGCUGAGACGCGAAAGCGUGGGGAGCAAACAGGAUUAGAUACCCUGGUAGUCCACGCCGUAAACGAUGGGUGCUAGGUGUCGCGGGCUUUGACCCCUGCGGUGCCGUAGCUAACGCAUUAAGCACCCCGCCUGGGGAGUACGGCCGCAAGGCUA
Molecule: ribosomal RNA, 372 nt
Filed under: uncultured organism
Description: bacterial SSU rRNA
Rfam family: Bacterial small subunit ribosomal RNA
Source: RNAcentral